RNAcentral lists this ribosomal RNA (182 nucleotides) under Candidatus Reconcilbacillus cellulovorans. RNAcentral's name for it is "Paenibacillaceae bacterium JTherm partial 16S ribosomal RNA". It matches the Rfam family "Bacterial small subunit ribosomal RNA", at positions 1 to 176 of the family's 1533-position model. The record is from RNAcentral. Lineage: Bacteria; Bacillati; Bacillota; Bacilli; Caryophanales; Paenibacillaceae.
AUGGAGAGUUUGAUCCUGGCUCAGGACGAACGCUGGCGGCGUGCCUAAUACAUGCAAGUCGAGCGGAGCCGCUGGGCGCUUUUGGGCGUUUGGCGGUCGAGCGGCGGACGGGUGAGGAACACGUAGGUAACCUGCCCGCAAGACCGGGAUAACGUUCGGAAACGGGCGCUAAGACCGGAUAA